CCUACGGGAGGCAGCAGUGGGGAAUCUUGCGCAAUGGGCGAAAGCCUGACGCAGCCAUGCCGCGUGAAUGAUGAAGGUCUUAGGAUUGUAAAAUUCUUUCACCGGGGACGAUAAUGACGGUACCCGGAGAAGAAGCCCCGGCUAACUUCGUGCCAGCAGCCGCGGUAAUACGAAGGGGGCUAGCGUUGCUCGGAAUUACUGGGCGUAAAGGGAGCGUAGGCGGAUAGUUUAGUCAGAGGUGAAAGCCCAGGGCUCAACCUUGGAAUUGCCUUUGAUACUGGCUAUCUUGAGUGUGGGAGAGGUUAGCGGAACUCCGAGUGUAGAGGUGAAAUUCGUAGAUAUUCGGAAGAACACCAGUGGCGAAGGCGGCUAACUGGCCCAUUACUGACGCUGAGGCUCGAAAGCGUGGGGAGCAAACAGGAUUAGAUACCCUGGUAGUCCACGCCGUAAACGAUGAGUGCUAGUUGUCGGCAUGCAUGCAUGUCGGUGACGCAGCUAACGCAUUAAGCACUCCGCCUGGGGAGUACGGUCGCAAGAUUAAAACUCAAAAUGAAAUUGACGG
Molecule: ribosomal RNA, 562 nt
Filed under: uncultured bacterium
Lineage: Bacteria
Description: bacterial SSU rRNA
Rfam family: Bacterial small subunit ribosomal RNA
Source: RNAcentral